GCGGCAGGCUUAACACAUGCAAGUCGAGCGCCCCGCAAGGGGAGCGGCAGACGGGUGAGUAACGCGUGGGAAUCUACCCCAUCUCUACGGAACAACUCCGGGAAACUGGAGCUAAUACCGUAUACGUCCUUCGGGAGAAAGAUUUAUCGGAGAUGGAUGAGCCCGCGUUGGAUUAGCUAGUUGGUGGGGUAAUGGCCUACCAAGGCGACGAUCCAUAGCUGGUCUGAGAGGAUGAUCAGCCACACUGGGACUGAGACACGGCCCAGACUCUACGGGAGGCAGCAGUGGGGAAUAUUGGACAAUGGGCGCAAGCCUGAUCCAGCCAUGCCGCGUGAGUGAUGAAGGCCCUAGGGUUGUAAAGCUCUUUCAACGGUGAAGAUAAUGACGGUAACCGUAGAAGAAGCCCCGGCUAACUUCGUGCCAGCAGCCGCGGUAAUACCGAAGGGGGCUAGCGUUGUUCGGAAUUACUGGGCGUAAAGCGCACGUAAGCGGAUACUUAAGUCAGGGGUGAAAUCCCGGGGCUCAACCCCGGAACUGCCUUUGAUACUGGGUAUCUCGAGUCCGGAAGAGGUGAGUGGAAUUCCGAGUGUAGAGGUGAAAUUCGUA
Molecule: ribosomal RNA, 606 nt
Filed under: Mesorhizobium sp. HN8A1
Lineage: Bacteria; Pseudomonadati; Pseudomonadota; Alphaproteobacteria; Hyphomicrobiales; Phyllobacteriaceae
Description: bacterial SSU rRNA
Rfam family: Bacterial small subunit ribosomal RNA
Source: RNAcentral